This 60-nucleotide microRNA precursor is filed under the name Callorhinchus milii (elephant shark). RNAcentral's name for it is "Cmi-Mir-10-P1d-v2_pre stem-loop". It matches the Rfam family "mir-10 microRNA precursor family", at positions 9 to 67 of the family's 74-position model. Rfam says of the family: In this case the mature sequence comes from the 5' arm of the precursor. The extents of the hairpin precursors are not generally known and are estimated based on hairpin prediction. The record is from RNAcentral. Lineage: Eukaryota; Metazoa; Chordata; Chondrichthyes; Chimaeriformes; Callorhinchidae.
ACCCUGUAGAACCGAAUUUGUGUUAGCAGUUUGUAAUCACAAAUUCGUCUCUGAGGGAGU